GACGAACGCUGGCGGCGUGCCUAAUACAUGCAAGUCGAGCGAAUUUACGAGAGCUUGCUCUCGUAAAUUAGCGGCGGACGGGUGAGUAACACGUGGGCAACCUGCCUAUAAGACUGGGAUAACUUCGGGAAACCGGAGCUAAUACCGGAUAAUUCACAUCUACUCAUGUAGAUGUGCUGAAAGACGGUUUCGGCUGUCACUUAUAGAUGGGCCCGCGGCGCAUUAGCUAGUUGGUGAGGUAACGGCUCACCAAGGCCACGAUGCGUAGCCGACCUGAGAGGGUGAUCGGCCACACUGGGACUGAGACACGGCCCAGACUCCUACGGGAGGCAGCAGUAGGGAAUCUUCCGCAAUGGACGAAAGUCUGACGGAGCAACGCUGCGUGAGUGAUGAAGGUUUUCGGAUCGUAAAACUCUGUUGUUAGGGAAGAACAAGUACCAGAGUAACUGCUGGUACCUUGACGGCACCUAACCAGAAAGCCACGGCUAACUACGUGCCAGCCGCCGCGGUAA
Molecule: ribosomal RNA, 512 nt
Filed under: uncultured bacterium
Lineage: Bacteria
Description: partial 16S ribosomal RNA
Rfam family: Bacterial small subunit ribosomal RNA
Source: RNAcentral